This 497-nucleotide ribosomal RNA is filed under the name uncultured bacterium. RNAcentral's name for it is "partial 16S ribosomal RNA". The stretch from base 20 to 338 matches the Rfam family "Bacterial small subunit ribosomal RNA", at positions 47 to 358 of the family's 1533-position model. The record is from RNAcentral.
GAUGAACGCUGGCGGCGUGCCUAAUACAUGCAAGUCGAGCGAACGGACGAGAAGCUUGCUUCUCUGAUGUUAGCGGCGGACGGGUGAGUAACACGUGGAUAACCUACCUAUAAGACUGGGAUAACUUCGGGAAACCGGAGCUAAUACCGGAUAAUAUUUUGAACCGCAUGGUUCAAAAGUGAAAGACGGUCUUGCUGUCACUUAUAGAUGGAUCCGCGCUGCAUUAGCUAGUUGGUAAGGUAACGGCUUACCAAGGCAACGAUGCAUAGCCGACCUGAGAGGGCGAGCGGCGAAAAGGGAACUGGGAGAAGGUCAAGAGGAAGAAGGGAGGCAGGAGGAGGUAGUCUGGAGAUAUGGGAGAAAGACUGAAGGAAAAACGAAGCAUGAGGGAAGAAGGUAUGCGGAAAUAAAAAAUCAGUUAAUAGGGAAGAACAUAUAUAAAAGGAAAGCUGAAAAGGGUAAAGGUGCAUAAUAAGAAAGCAAAGGAUAUUAAAGUG